Molecule: long non-coding RNA, 452 nt
Filed under: Setaria italica (foxtail millet)
Lineage: Eukaryota; Viridiplantae; Streptophyta; Magnoliopsida; Poales; Poaceae
Description: long non-coding RNA (SITA_LNC000591)
Source: RNAcentral
AUCAGUAUAAGCAGAAUUUGCUGAACCGUACCUGGUCGCUCUUGUUCGAAGACCCACCGCCUGAAUGACACAAGAAAAAAAUAUCAGAAUGCUCGAGAAGGUACUCUGUUAUAGCAUUUGGUUGAAUUGUUUUCUGAUUUCUGUUACGGCAUCACCUUGGAAUUUCUUGGAGAAUGUCCCUGUCUCCUUGAAGAGCUGCUCAAAGUGGGUCUUGCAGUACAGGACACCAUCCAUGGAAGAGUAGCUGCUGAUCUAUAGGGGAUGCAAGCGUACAUUUUUUAAAAGAACACAUAAAAAGAACUGAUUCUUUCUAAUAAUGCAAAUGUACUAGGACAGAGUUUCGGCCAUGUAUGCAAACGUACCGAGAGGGUGCCCUUGCAGUGGCUGCACUUGAAGCAUGUCUUGUGGUAGGAGACGCCGUCGGCGGUGAGGAGGUCGAUGAAGUGCACCGU